GGUGAUCUACCCAUGUCCAGGAUGAAGGUAAGGUAAUACUUACUGGAGGUCCGAACCCACGCACGUUGAAAAGUGCGGGGAUGAGGUGUGGGUAGCGGAGAAAUUCCAAUCGAACUUGGAGAUAGCUGGUUCUCUCCGAAAUAGCUUUAGGGCUAGCCUCGAGGUAAAGAGUCAUGGAGGUAGAGCACUGUUUGGACUAGGGGCCCUUCUCGGGUUACCGAAUUCAGAUAAACUCCGAAUGCCAUGUACUUAUACUCGGGAGUCAGACUGCGAGUGAUAAGAUCCGUAGUCGAAAGGGAAACAGCCCAGACCACCAGUUAAGGUCCCCAAAUAUAUGUUAAGUGGAAAAGGAUGUGGGGUUGCUUAGACAACCAGGAUGUUGGCUUAGAAGCAGCCACCAUUGAAAGAGUGCGUAAUAGCUCACUGGUCGAGUGACCCCGCGCCGAAAAUGUACCGGGGCUAAACAUAUUACCGAAACUGUGGAUGAACCUCUUUAGAGGUUCGUGGUAGGAGAGCGUUCUAAGGGCGGUGAAGUCAGACCGGAAGGACUGGUGGAGCGCUUAGAAGUGAGAAUGCCGGUAUGAGUAGCGAAAGAAGGGUGAGAAUCCCUUCCACCGAAUAUCUAAGGUUUCCUGAGGAAGGCUCGUCCGCUCAGGGUUAGUCGGGACCUAAGCCGAGGCCGAUAGGCGUAGGCGAUGGACAACAGGUAGAGAUUCCUGUACCAGUGCUAAUUGUUUAACCGAUGGGGUGACACAGAAGGAUAGGGAAUCGCACGAAUGGAAAUGUGCGUCCAAGCAGUGAGUGUGAGAAGUAGGCAAAUCCGCUUCUCGCGAAGCAUGAGCUGUGAUGGGGAAGGAAAUUAAGUACGGAAGUUCCUGAUUUCACGCUGUCAAGAAAAGCCUCUAGGAAGAGUAGUACUGCCCGUACCGCAAACCGACACAGGUAGAUGAGGAGAGAAUCCUAAGGUGAGCGAGAGAACUCUCGUUAA
This 988-nucleotide ribosomal RNA is filed under the name Listeria monocytogenes. Its description in RNAcentral is "partial 23S ribosomal RNA". It matches the Rfam family "Bacterial large subunit ribosomal RNA", at positions 724 to 1708 of the family's 2925-position model. Lineage: Bacteria; Bacillati; Bacillota; Bacilli; Caryophanales; Listeriaceae. The record is from RNAcentral.